CAGCCACAACACCCCAUCAUCUGGGCGAGGCGGUAGCAUCAUACUUGUCAUCAUCCCGUCACAUAGCUUUGCUGUUGAGUGCAAGAAAUCACAUGCAAGCUGGAUUGUGUUAGACAAGAUUUGAAGCAUGAGGAGAAGCAUUGUGGGGGAGAAGCUUCAGUGCAACAUUGUUGUUCUAUAGGGAUCAACAUCCUCAAGA
Molecule: long non-coding RNA, 199 nt
Organism: Zea mays
Lineage: Eukaryota; Viridiplantae; Streptophyta; Magnoliopsida; Poales; Poaceae
Exons: 3
Source: RefSeq, a predicted model, not a curated record